Molecule: ribosomal RNA, 472 nt
Filed under: uncultured bacterium
Lineage: Bacteria
Description: bacterial SSU rRNA
Rfam family: Bacterial small subunit ribosomal RNA
Source: RNAcentral
UGGGGAAUUUUGGACAAUGGGCGCAAGCCUGAUCCAGCCAUGCCGCGUGAGUGAAGAAGGCCUUCGGGUUGUAAAGCUCUUUCGGCGGGGACGAAAUGGUUCGUGCCAAUACCACGGACUGAUGACGGUACCUGAAGAAGAAGCACCGGCUAACUACGUGCCAGCAGCCGCGGUAAUACGUAGGGUGCAGGCGUUAAUCGGAAUUACUGGGCGUAAAGCGUGCGCAGGCGGUUUGUUAAGACAGAUGUGAAAUCCCCGGGCUUAACCUGGGAACUGCGUUUGUAACUGGCAGACUGGAGUGUGGCAGAGGGGGGUGGAAUUCCAAGUGUAGCAGUGAAAUGCGUAGAUAUUUGGAGGAACACCGAUGGCGAAGGCAGCCCCCUGGGCUAACACUGACGCUCAUGCACGAAAGCGUGGGGAGCAAACAGGAUUAGAUACCCCUGUAGUCCCUGAGCGGGCUGGCAAGGCGCAU